UUCGGUGGCGAUGGCAAAGGGGGUACACCUGUUCCCAUCCCGAACACAGAAGUUAAGUCCUUUAGCGCCGAUGGUACUGCGUGGGUAGCUGCGUGGGAGAGUAGGUCGCCGCCGAUU
RNAcentral lists this ribosomal RNA (117 nucleotides) under Desulforegula conservatrix. Lineage: Bacteria; Pseudomonadati; Thermodesulfobacteriota; Desulfobacteria; Desulfobacterales; Desulforegulaceae. The record is from RNAcentral.